GUCAGGCCGUGCCGCCCACCCCGCCCCGCUCCUCGCCAGGCUGCUCCACCCGCCCCGCCGCUCGUCACGCUUCCUCGUCCGCCCCGCCCCUCGCUAGGCUGCACCGCCCGCCCCGCUUCCGCCCCAUCCCUCUCCAGGCCGCGCCUCCGCCUCCGGCCCGCCCUCGUCUCCGCCCCUGCGGGGGCUGCUCGUUAGGCCCCGCCCUGCACCCCCGUCACCCACGCCGCGCGACCCGCAGCCGCCGCCAGGGCCCUCUGCUGCCGCGGAGGUGCUAGGACAGCCGCGGACGGCCCGCCUCCCCGUGCCCCGGGCCUCGAGGCCAAUAAAAAGCUCGCCCCUCCAGCUCACCGGGUCCGACGGGUACGGUACAAAGUGCUGUCUCUCGCCACAGCCACCUUUGUGACAAUAAAAGCAAUAAGGCUAAUGUCCAUGGGGCGCUCACGUUUAUGCAUGAACAGAGAAAGCUGAGAUACGGAGACUAGUGAUCCGUCGAGGUAAUAAACGGCACAGGUGGGGUUUGAACUCCAUCAGUUUGAUUGCAGAGGCCUGGAACAACCCUACAGCCUUCUCUCAGAUCUUUUCUGGACCUUUUUCUAUGCGCUUUGCACCUAGGACGUGAGGCUGCCAAGCUUGGUAUUCAAUAAAUAUUGAUGGAUGAAGGAACAAUGGAAGAAAGGAGUGCAUGGGUAAACAAAUGACAAAUAUGUCAAAGCACGGAUGCAGAUUCUUAGAAUGGGCUAAUGCUGUUUUCUGCUGGAUUUUUGGAUGUGUACAAACGAGUUCUCUCACAAUACAGAUCCACAGUGUCUGGGUCAGAGGAGAACUGAUGCUCCGCAUGGCAUUUUACCAUCCUGCCUGCCUGCCUGGGGCCCUGGGCCCACAGGCUUUGGGGAGAGUGUAUGGCCAGGCUGCAGCCUUCCUGGGAUAAAGCUCUGCCUUUUAGUCUCUUAUCCUACUUUUUAGAAGCCCUUUAAGGUCUUUGUUAAAGGAAAUCUAAUGUGAAGAAUUCCAGGAGAACUGGAUAAGCCUGACUAUGGGUGGGCGUGACUGAAUUACUUCCCGGGCUGGCUAAGGAAGGCCUCCCCCGAAGUGCAUCGGAAGCCUGCAGCUUCUCCUUAUGGCCACUGGAGGGCACUUGGACCAUGAAAUACCAGAUCGUCUCGGCGUCCCAGGUCUUUGGAAAUGUGUGAUUCAAUUCAGCAAACGUUUCAAAAUCAUCACUAUAAAGAUAGCGCUUUUGUGUUGAACAUCCAAUAUGGCGCUAAACACCUUAUAUAUAUGUGUGCGUGUAUAUAUGAACUUGCUUAAUAUUAACUACAAUUGUUGUGAGUUACUUAGGCUAUUUAGGAAAAAAAAAUCAAGGCUUAAAGAAGUCAAAGUACUUACCCAAGAUUGCUUAGCUAAAUAAAAUUUGGGAGUAAGGACUUGAACUCAAGCCCUUGGGCACCAACCAUAAGCAAUAGGUGCACACAAAGCUGAAAUGAGGACUCUCUUAUAAGCAGGAAGACGCACACACCACACAAAUAUUAUUGUUCCUCAACAAUUUACACAUUCUGAAAUUGGAAGAUGACUUACAAUUUGUACAUUACAUGGUAAUGUUUCUUUUUUCCCUUGAAAUGAUGUUAUUAAAUAAAUGAAGUGUC
This 1643-nucleotide long non-coding RNA is filed under the name Homo sapiens (human). RNAcentral describes it as "HSALNT0309085". The record is from RNAcentral. Lineage: Eukaryota; Metazoa; Chordata; Mammalia; Primates; Hominidae.